This 292-nucleotide ribosomal RNA is filed under the name uncultured bacterium. Its description in RNAcentral is "partial 16S ribosomal RNA". It matches the Rfam family "Bacterial small subunit ribosomal RNA", at positions 505 to 796 of the family's 1533-position model. The record is from RNAcentral.
GUGUCAGCCGCCGCGGUAAUACGUAGGUGGCGAGCGUUAUCCGGAAUUAUUGGGCGUAAAGCGCGCGCAGGCGGUUUCUUAAGUCUGAUGUGAAAGCCCACGGCUCAACCGUGGAGGGUCAUUGGAAACUGGGAAACUUGAGUGCAGAAGAGGAAAGCGGAAUUCCACGUGUAGCGGUGAAAUGCGUAGAGAUGUGGAGGAACACCAGUGGCGAAGGCGGCUUUCUGGUCUGUAACUGACGCUGAGGCGCGAAAGCGUGGGGAGCAAACAGGAUUAGAUACCCGUGUAGUCC